This 408-nucleotide ribosomal RNA is filed under the name uncultured bacterium. RNAcentral's name for it is "partial 16S ribosomal RNA". It matches the Rfam family "Bacterial small subunit ribosomal RNA", at positions 28 to 526 of the family's 1533-position model. The record is from RNAcentral.
GACGAACGCUGGCGGCGUGCCUAAUACAUGCAAGUCGACCUUAGGGGCGAACGGGUGAGUAACACGUGGGUAACGUGCCCAGCAGAAGGCGAUAACACUUGGAAACUGGUGCUAAAACCGUAUACUGAUGGAUGGACCCGCGUUGCAUUAGCUAGUUGGUGGGGUAACGGCUCACCAAGGCAACGAUGCAUAGCCGACCUGAGAGGGUGACCGGCCACAUUGGAACUGAGACACGGCCCAAACUCCUACGGGAGGCAGCAGUGGGGAAUCUUCGGCAAUGGACGAAAGUCUGACCGAGCAACGCCGCGUGAGUGAAGAAGGUUUUCGGAUCGUAAAACUCUGUUGUUAGAGAAGCGGUAUCUAACCAGAAAGCCACGGCUAACUUCGUGCCAGCAGCCGCGGUAAUAC